CAGCCGUAAACUAUGCGCGUUAGGUGUAUCGGUGACCACGAGUUACCGAGGUGCCGAAGGGAAACCGUGAAACGUGCCGCCUGGGAAGUACGGUCGCAAGGCUGAAACUUAAAGGAAUUGGCGGGGGGAGCAACAACAACGGGUGGAGCCUGCGGUUUAAUUGGACUCAACGCCGGACAACUCACCGGGGACGACAGCAAUAUGUAGGCCAGGCUGAAGACCUUGCCUGAAUCGCUGAGAGGAGGUGCAUGGCGUAGACGUCU
Molecule: ribosomal RNA, 263 nt
Filed under: uncultured archaeon
Lineage: Archaea
Description: partial 16S ribosomal RNA
Rfam family: Archaeal small subunit ribosomal RNA
Source: RNAcentral